GAAUGUGAGGGCGAUCUGGCUGUGACAUCUGUCACUCCAUUGAUCACCAGGGUUGAUUCAGCUGAUCUGGAUGGCUAGGCAGGUGCCCCCUUCCUCCCUCCUCACUGCAUAUGCAUCCCUCCCAAAGCUGCAUGCUGGGUCAAAGAGGACAACCUUCCCUGAUAGAGAAGGACUGUUCUUCGGUCAAGGAUAUACAAGUAGCUACACUCCUCUGCUAGAACUUCCAAAACAAGCUCUCAAAAAUAUCUGGGGGGAAAAAACAAUAAAAAAUAACAAUACAACAAUAAAAAAUAAUACAAAUAAAAACAAUAGGGUAUAACUACUAUUU
This 328-nucleotide small nuclear RNA is filed under the name Prolemur simus (greater bamboo lemur). RNAcentral describes it as "7SK RNA (ENSPSMG00000003621.1)". It matches the Rfam family "7SK RNA". From Rfam's summary of the family: 7SK was discovered as an abundant small nuclear RNA in the mid-70s but a possible function has only recently been suggested. The record is from Rfam by way of RNAcentral. Lineage: Eukaryota; Metazoa; Chordata; Mammalia; Primates; Lemuridae.